This 432-nucleotide ribosomal RNA is filed under the name Triticum aestivum (bread wheat). RNAcentral describes it as "partial small subunit ribosomal RNA". The record is from RNAcentral. Lineage: Eukaryota; Viridiplantae; Streptophyta; Magnoliopsida; Poales; Poaceae.
AUGUACUCAAAUAUACAAUUAUUAAAAAAAUGUAAAUAUUUUCAACACGGACAUGGUUUUAAACGGGUCUUUGCGCCAUUUGGCGCAACUGGUCAUCUAGUGACCAUAAUGGCCCAGUCAACCGAAGAUGGAGAGGAUACCAAAAGAGGAACCUCCGGCGCAACAGUAGACAUAGCAGAACACGAAGGCCGCUCCCCUCACUACCACAGCAAAAUCAACACACAACAUAGAAGAUUCGGCCACAAUGGCAGGAACAACACAUCAGCCACUCCCUCUACCAUGCCCAUGACCACGGGAAGCAGGAGCCAUAGAUGCACCACACGAAAGAAAAUCGUCCGAGACCACAGGAGCUUGGAUCAGAAUGGGAGGAAAAACAAAGCAAUCACUCCCCCUACAUUGGGCCACGACCAUGGCAUGAAGAAGCAACCAUAG